AAAAGUUUAGUUUUGGCUAAAAAUUAUAUUUACCUUUAUAUUAUAUACAUUUAAUUAAAUAAUAAUUUGUAGUAAUAAAUAUUGAAAAUUAAAAUAAUUAGAUUUAGUAAAAGGUUUAAGAUUAGGCUAAAGGCGUGCCAGCUGCUGCGGUUAUACGCUUUAAUCAAUAUAAUUAAGUUAGAAUUUAGUUAAAAAUACGGUUUAAGAAUUUAAUAUAUUUAUAGGUGAAAUUAGAAUAAUAUAUUUUACAAUCUUAAAAGCUUAUAAACUAUAAUAGUUGACUAAAACUAGGAUUAGAUACCCUAUUAUUCAAUUUACUUAAAUAAUCUAGAGUAGUAUCAGAUAAAAUCUUGAAAUUCAAAAAACUUGGCGGUUUUUUAGCCUUAUUAGAGGAACCUGUAUCAUAAUCGAUAAUCCACGAUUGGAAUUACUAUAAAUUAGCUUAUAUACCGUUGUCAUAAGAUAAUUUUAUAAGAUUUUAUCUAGAAUUAUAAUUUUAAAAGAUGUCAGAUCAAGGUGUAGCUGUAUUAUAGAGAAUAUGGGUUACAAUAUCAUAAGAUACACGAAUUUUGUUUAUUAAGAAAUAAAUGAAGGAGGAUUUAAAAGUAAAUAAUUUAUGAAAUAUUGAGUAUAGCACUAGAAAAUGCACAUAUCGCCCGUCGCUCUUGUUUAAAAGUUAAGAUAAGUCGUAACAUAGUAGAUAUACUGGAAAGUAUCUCUAGAAAGUUU
Molecule: non-coding RNA, 729 nt
Filed under: Anisolabididae sp. NS-2016
Lineage: Eukaryota; Metazoa; Arthropoda; Insecta; Dermaptera; Anisolabididae
Source: RNAcentral